RNAcentral lists this ribosomal RNA (406 nucleotides) under uncultured bacterium. RNAcentral's name for it is "partial 16S ribosomal RNA". It matches the Rfam family "Bacterial small subunit ribosomal RNA", at positions 30 to 526 of the family's 1533-position model. The record is from RNAcentral.
AUUGAACGCUAGCGGCAGGCCUAACACAUGCAAGUCGAACGAGUGGCGGACGGGUGAGUAAUGUCUGGGAACCUGCCUGAUAGCGGGGGAUAACUACUGGAAACGGUAGCUAAUACCGCAUACCAUCAGAUGUGCCCAGAUCGGAUUAGCUGGUUGGUGGGGUAAAGGCUCACCAAGGCGACGAUCCCUAGCUGGUCUGAGAGGAUGACCAGCCACACUGGAACUGAGACACGGUCCAGACUCCUACGGGAGGCAGCAGUGGGGAAUAUUGCACAAUGGGCGCAAGCCUGAUGCAGCCAUGCCGCGUAUAUGAAGAAGGCCUUAGGGUUGUAAAGUACUUUCAGCGGGGAGGCGUUACCCGCAGAAGAAGCACCGGCUAACUCCGUGCCAGCAGCCGCGGUAAUUC